CCUACGGUGGGCUGCAGUGAGGAAUAUUGGUCAAUGGGAGGAAUCCUGAACCAGCCAUGUCGCGUGCAGGACGACGGCUCUACGAGUUGUAAACUGCUUUUGUACCGGGGUAAAAUGCUCUACGAGUAGGGUUUUGAAAGUACGGUACGAAUAAGGAUCGGCUAACUCCGUGCCAGCAGCCGCGGUAAUACGGAGGAUCCGAGCGUUAUCCGGAUUCAUUGGGUUUAAAGGGUGCGUAGGCGGACUAUUAAGUCAGCGGUAAAAGCCCGGGGCUCAACCCCGGCGAGCCGUUGAAACUGGCUGUCUUGAGAUGUCGAGAGGUAUGCGGAAUGCGCAGUGUAGCGGUGAAAUGCUUAGAUAUUGCGCAGAACUCCGAUUGCGAAGGCAGCAUACCGGCGGCGAUCUGACGCUGAGGCACGAAAGCGUGGGUAUCGAACAGGAUUAGAUACCCGAGUAGUC
This 459-nucleotide ribosomal RNA is filed under the name uncultured bacterium. RNAcentral's name for it is "partial 16S ribosomal RNA". It matches the Rfam family "Bacterial small subunit ribosomal RNA", at positions 338 to 795 of the family's 1533-position model. The record is from RNAcentral.